UUUGUUUUGUCUACUGCAGCCGGUUUGGACGUAAUUUUUUUUUUCUUUUUUGCCUUACCUGUGUGAAUAAAAAGCUUAAAAUCCCAACUCCUGUCCAUGUAGGGUCACCACCACUACUGCAAGGCCCUGGCCCUGCUGGGGAGGCACGAGCAGGCUCUGGAAGCAAACGAGAGAGCUCAGGAGCUCUGCAGGGACGUCCCCGACGGGCUCAAGGAACUUGUUCAACAGCAUCACAAGCUGAAAAGGACCUUAGAAGAAAUUAAUGGUACUAAACAACGUAAACAGAAGGCAAAGAAGUCUCUGCUUGAGAAAAAAGACUGCAGUUCUUCAAAACCUCACAGAAUAACCUCUCAGGAGCAAAAAGAAUUAGAAAAGAUCAGAAAGAGAACUCAGGCUGAUCCUAAAGGUCCUCAAAAACACGAUCCCAAGAUGACUGACACCCAAAGACCAGAAAGCAAAGUUUCCACGCUGGAGUUGCCACAAAACCAAAGUCAUCAAAACAAACGAAAGCAAAAACCCAAACCUGGUGACUCUGAAAAAAUGAGGUAAAAAAAUACUAUUUAUUUUGAAAUUUAUGAUUACUUUGAGUUAUUUUAUGCAGCACUUAGAAAGGACUUAAUGUCCCUUGGACUUGCUGCUUUUUCUGUGUUUUUUUACAUACUGGUAGCUGGGUGAAGUUCCCAAAAUUCCAGUUUUCACAAAGAACCAGAGUUAUAACUUGAAAAUU
RNAcentral lists this long non-coding RNA (727 nucleotides) under Manacus vitellinus (golden-collared manakin). RNAcentral's name for it is "lncRNA (ENSMVIG00005015170.1)". Lineage: Eukaryota; Metazoa; Chordata; Aves; Passeriformes; Pipridae. The record is from RNAcentral.